Long non-coding RNA from Numida meleagris (helmeted guineafowl), 803 nucleotides. RefSeq lists it as uncharacterized. The record is from RefSeq and is a predicted model, not a curated record. The transcript is spliced from 4 exons. Lineage: Eukaryota; Metazoa; Chordata; Aves; Galliformes; Numididae.
AGCAGACAUUGUGCUCACACAAUGGAUGUUCUCGGCCCAAACACUACUGUGAUGACGUUUAUUAUGGGGUUGACAGUCCCAUUACAAAAACACAGCCAGAGCUGCCAGCCUCUAAAACAGAGACGAGCUCCAAGCUGCACACGUGGUACAGGCGCUCACUCCAGCCCUGAGAGGACAACAGCACUCUGCAGCUAAAGUCCUCUGUAAUCUCAGUUGUAUGUUAACACAUAUUGAGUAUUAAAAAGGUUGCAAUCCAAAUAGCAAAGCCUCCUCAGACCACAGAGGAUCUUGAAGUCCACUAAAGACCACUUCAUGCUAACAGAAUUUGUUGGAAGUGUUUAGGUAGUUGUAGCACUGGAAGCCAUAGAGAAACCAAAGAUCAGCGGAAAAGUUCAAAGACUAUUGUGCUUCUCAAAAAGACAUCCCCUUCCCAAACCUCGAGGAGGCACAAGACAGCUGCUGUGUGAUGUCUUCUCCACACCUCUGACAGAAUUAAACAUGACCACAUGGAGCAGUGGAGCAUCAAAAAAACAGCAGUGUUAUUUGCUGUGGUCUGAAGCACAAAUCCUCCUGUUUGCUGAAUACACUGAGGGUCCUGCCUGAACCCAGGGUACCAGGACAGAGAAACUUAGGGCAAAAGGAAGCAGAUCUCCACAAAGCUUAAUUGGAACUGGCAGCAGCCUCAUGGUAAUGGAGCCUGAGAAGGCAGACGUCAUCUGUGCUGCAGCAGCACCACAAGUGAUGUGCGUCGUGACCGUGUCUACAAGUGUCUUGGUUCGGUUAUUGGUACUCCACAUCAUAAC